This 500-nucleotide unclassified non-coding RNA is filed under the name Hevea brasiliensis (rubber tree). Lineage: Eukaryota; Viridiplantae; Streptophyta; Magnoliopsida; Malpighiales; Euphorbiaceae. The record is from RNAcentral.
GCAAAUCUAGGGGAGGAUGAGAUUGAAUAAUAGCGAGGUUGCAGGCGAGGAGCUACUGCAGCAAAAAAAACACCAAGUGGAGGUUUUGCAGAUGGGAACUCAGCCAUUACCUCAAGAAGACUUCUCUGACUUGCAAUAACCCAUUGGGUGUACUCCUCCUUCCCCUGUGGCGAUGAUAAAAACUUGAGUCUUUCUGCCUCACUAGGUUCACUGGCAUGAGCAGCCAAAGCAAUCAAAGCAGCCUUUCGAGGGGGGUUCAAUAGAUCUGCAUUGCUUGACAAAGCAGAUCGAAGUGUGCAAGGCCCUGGGAAAGGAGGUGGCAAUGAACUUCCAAGGGGUGUGCCAUCCUCAUCGUCAUUGUGAAUGGAAAAUAGCAAAUCCAAGGGUUGACCCAACAACUUCCCUGCUUCUUCAACAGUUUCAUCAUGAUUCUCAGCAUAAACACCCACAUGGUCUCCAGUUUCAUAUAUUAUACCAGUCCCUGAUAUGUCAAACUCCAG